AAAUGAAUAGACGGGGGCCCGCACAAGCGGUGGAGCAUGUGGUUUAAUUCGACGCAACGCGCAGAACCUUACCAGGGCUUGACAUGGAGAGGACCGGACGAGAGAUCGUCCUUCUCCCGCAAGGGAGCCUCUCACACAGGUGCUGCAUGGCUGUCGUCAGCUCGUGUCGUGAGAUGUUGGGUUAAGUCCCGCAACGAGCGCAACCCUCGUUUCUAGUUGCCAUCAUUCAGUUGGGCACUCUAGAGAGACUGCCGCGAAUAACGCGGAGGAAGGUGGGGACGACGUCAAGUCAUCAUGGCCCUUACGUCCUGGGCUACACACGUGCUACAAUGGGUGUCACAGAGGGUCGCAAUAGCGCAAGCUGGAGCCAAUCCCCAAAAACAUCCUCAGUUCGGAUCGAGGUCUGCAACCCGACCUCGUGAAGGUGGAAUCGCUAGUAAUCGCGGAUCAGAACGCCGCGGUGAAUACGUUCCCGGGCCUUGUACACACCGCCCGU
Molecule: ribosomal RNA, 496 nt
Filed under: uncultured bacterium
Lineage: Bacteria
Description: bacterial SSU rRNA
Rfam family: Bacterial small subunit ribosomal RNA
Source: RNAcentral